GAUGAACGCUGGCGGCGUGCCUAAUACAUGCAAGUCGAGCGAACAGACGAGGAGCUUGCUCCUAUGACGUUAGCGGCCGUCGGGUGAGUAACUUGUGGAUAACCCACCUCUGAGAAUGUGAUACUUUUGGGGGACCGGAGCUAAUACGGGAUAAUAUAUUGCACUGCAUGGUUCAAGCGUGUGAGUCGGUUUUUGUGUCGCUUAUAGCUGGAUCCGCGCCGCAUUAGCUAGUUGGUUAGGUAACUGCUUACCAAGGCGACGAUGCGUAGGCGACCUGAGAGGGUGGUCGACUAGACUGGAACUGAGACACGGUCCAGACUCCGACGGUAGGCAGCAGUAGGGAAUCUUCCGCGAUGGGGGAGAGGCUGACGUAGCAACGCCGCGUGAGUGAUGAAGGUCUUCGGACCGUAAAACGCUGUGAGUAGGAAGGAACAAAUGUGUAUGUAGCUAUGCACGUCUUGACGGUACCUAAACAGAAAGCCCCGGCUAACUACGUG
RNAcentral lists this ribosomal RNA (497 nucleotides) under uncultured bacterium. Its description in RNAcentral is "partial 16S ribosomal RNA". It matches the Rfam family "Bacterial small subunit ribosomal RNA", at positions 28 to 507 of the family's 1533-position model. The record is from RNAcentral.